UGGGGAAUAUUGCACAAUGGGCGCAAGCCUGAUGCAGCCAUGCCGCGUGUGUGAAGAAGGCCUUCGGGUUGUAAAGCACUUUCAGCGGGGAGGAAGGCGAUAAGGUUAAUAACCUUGUCGAUUGACGUUACCCGCAGAAGAAGCACCGGCUAACUCCGUGCCAGCAGCCGCGGUAAUACGGAGGGUGCAAGCGUUAAUCGGAAUUACUGGGCGUAAUGCGCACGCAGGCGGUCUGUCAAGUCGGAUGUGAAAUCCCCGGGCUUAACCCGGGAAUUGCAUCUGAUACUGGUCAGCUAGAGUCUUGUAGAGGGGGGUAGAAUUCCAUGUGUAGCGGUGAAAUGCGUAGAGAUGUGGAGGAAUACCGGUGGCGAAGGCGGCCCCCUGGACAAAGACUGACGCUCAGGUGCGAAAGCGUGGGGAGCAAACAGG
RNAcentral lists this ribosomal RNA (429 nucleotides) under Chloroflexota bacterium. RNAcentral's name for it is "Chloroflexi bacterium partial 16S ribosomal RNA". It matches the Rfam family "Bacterial small subunit ribosomal RNA", at positions 355 to 776 of the family's 1533-position model. Lineage: Bacteria; Bacillati; Chloroflexota. The record is from RNAcentral.